AGAGAUCUGGAGGAAUACCGGUGGCGAAGGCGGCCCCCUGGACGAAGACUGACGCUCAGGUGCGAAAGCGUGGGGAGCAAACAGGAUUAGAUACCCUGGUAGUCCACGCCGUAAACGAUGUCGACUUGGAGGUUGUGCCCUUGAGGCGUGGCUUCCGGAGCUAACGCGUUAAGUCGACCGCCUGGGGAGUACGGCCGCAAGGUUAAAACUCAAAUGAAUUGACGGGGGCCCGCACAAGCGGUGGAGCAUGUGGUUUAAUUCGAUGCAACGCGAAGAACCUUACCUGGUCUUGACAUCCACGGAAGUUUUCAGAGAUGAGAAUGUGCCUUCGGGAACCGUGAGACA
RNAcentral lists this ribosomal RNA (345 nucleotides) under uncultured bacterium. RNAcentral describes it as "bacterial SSU rRNA". It matches the Rfam family "Bacterial small subunit ribosomal RNA", at positions 692 to 1036 of the family's 1533-position model. The record is from RNAcentral.